Acanthosepion pharaonis is the source of this 112-nucleotide non-coding RNA. NCBI's taxonomy places the organism in Eukaryota, Metazoa, Mollusca, Cephalopoda, Sepiida, Sepiidae. The record is from the annotation of a GenBank genome assembly.
UUACGGCCAUAUCAUGUUGAAACACUGGUUCCCGUAAGAUCACUGAAGUUAAGUAACAUUGGGCAUGAUCAGUACCUAGAUGGGUGACCGUUUAGGAAUACUAGGUGCUAUA